This 524-nucleotide ribosomal RNA is filed under the name uncultured bacterium. Its description in RNAcentral is "partial 16S ribosomal RNA". It matches the Rfam family "Bacterial small subunit ribosomal RNA", at positions 28 to 523 of the family's 1533-position model. The record is from RNAcentral.
GACGAACGCUGGCGGCGUGCCUAAUACAUGCAAGUCGAGCGCAGGAAGCCGUCCGAACCCUUCGGGGGGACGACGGUGGAAUGAGCGGCGGACGGGUGAGUAACACGUAAAGAACCUGCCCAUAGGUCUGGGAUAACCACGAGAAAUCGGGGCUAAUACCGGAUGUGUCAUCGGACCGCAUGGUCCGAUGAUGAAAGGCGCUUCGGCGUCGCCCAUGGAUGGCUUUGCGGUGCAUUAGCUAGUUGGUGGGGUAACGGCCCACCAAGGCGACGAUGCAUAGCCGACCUGAGAGGGUGAUCGGCCACACUGGGACUGAGACACGGCCAAGACUCCUACGGGAGGCAGCAGUAGGGAAUCUUCCACAAUGGGCGAAAGUCUGAUGGAGCAACGCCGCGUGAACGAUGAAGGCUUUCGGGUCGUAAAGUUCUGUUGUAAGGGAAGAACAAGUGCCGCAGGCAAUGGCGGCACCUUGACGGUACCUUGCGAGAAAGCCACGGCUAACUACGUGCCAGCCGCCGCGGUAA